CCUGAUGCAGCCAUGCCGCGUGUAUGAAGAAGGCCUUCGGGUUGUAAAGUACUUUCAGUUGUGAGGAAGGCAGUUAAGUUAAUAGCUUAGCUGUUUGACGUUAGCAACAGAAGAAGCACCGGCUAACUCCGUGCCAGCAGCCGCGGUAAUACGGAGGGUGCGAGCGUUAAUCGGAAUUACUGGGCGUAAAGCGCAUGCAGGCGGUCUGUUAAGCAAGAUGUGAAAGCCCGGGGCUCAACCUCGGAACAGCAUUUUGAACUGGCAGACUAGAGUCUUGUAGAGGGGGGUAGAAUUUCAGGUGUAGCGGUGAAAUGCGUAGAGAUCUGAAGGAAUACCGGUGGCGAAGGCGGCCCCCUGGACAAAGACUGACGCUCAGAUGCGAAAGCGUGGGGAGCAAACAGGAUUAGAUACCCUGGUAGUCCACGCCGUAAACGAUGUCUACUUGAAGGUUGUGGCCUUGAGCCGUGGCUUUCGGAGCUAACGCGUUAAGUAGACCGCCUGGGGA
Molecule: ribosomal RNA, 505 nt
Filed under: bacterium KWD-1-1
Lineage: Bacteria
Also listed under: 1 other name
Description: bacterial SSU rRNA
Rfam family: Bacterial small subunit ribosomal RNA
Source: RNAcentral